RNAcentral lists this transfer RNA (69 nucleotides) under Xenopus wittei (Witte's clawed frog). Its description in RNAcentral is "tRNA-Trp". It matches the Rfam family "tRNA". From Rfam's summary of the family: Transfer RNA (tRNA) molecules are approximately 80 nucleotides in length. Their secondary structure includes four short double-helical elements and three loops (D, anti-codon, and T loops). Lineage: Eukaryota; Metazoa; Chordata; Amphibia; Anura; Pipidae. The record is from RNAcentral.
AGAGAUUUAAGUUAACCAGACUAAGGGCCUUCAAAGCCCUAAGCAGGAGUUAGAAUCUCCUAAUCUCUG